AACAUUGUUCUUUUGAAGUCUGACAUGAAGAUGAAAAUUCCUUGAGGAUUGUGAGACACUAGAAUGCAUUACAAAGGAGGGCACGGAAUGGCCUUUAAUGCAGAUCCUUAAGAGGGUAGAGGGCAGCAUUCUUAGUUUCCUUUCCACCCUCUAAUUCCAACAUGCUAUGAAAAUGAUUUUAACUCUGCCUGACUAGCACAAACAAAACUAAACAAUAACAUUGACUUCCUGAUUAUUUAUACCCACUUGCCCCAUGACUUUGUAAUGAGGGGUCUUAGUGGCAAGGACAGUCUUCAUCAUGCUUUGUCCCUCUACUCUGCUUGACAUACAGGUAUGGGCAAGGAUUCUAAAUUUCUCUGCUCCUCUAGCCUUUUGAUGUGUUUGUUCACAAAUACCCGGGCCUUGGGGCAGGGGUAGAGACACCUUCCUUCUGCUGCACUAGGGGGAGUCGCCUUAGGAGGUCAGCUGACCACGUGGAGAGGAGGCUCUGAGAGGUCAGCUGACUGUCUGGGGAGCAGGCUCUGGGAGGUCAGUUGACCACGUGGAGAGGAGGCUCUCGGAGAUCGGCUGACGGCGUAGGGAGAAGGCUCUCUGGUCGGCUGACCGCCUGGAGAGGAGGCUGUGGGAGUUACACGUUGUCUUCAGAAAAAGAGAUUCCCCAGAGCCCCACACAGUGCCUGGCAAAUGUAGCAUGACACAAUUCCUUCAAGACUUCCCAGCCUGCAGGAGGGAGUCGCUGGCUAAACCUGGAUACAGGCCGGGAUGCUACAACUUGCUGGUUGCUCAACUCUAGAUGGUCAACUGUCCGUUCCCAGAGCUUUGGUUUCCUCAUGCUGGCAGAUCAUCACUGAUGUCCAUUCCUUCCAGGUGUUUAGUUCGUAGGCCAGUCCUGAGUUGUUGAGUGAGAAAGUAGGAAGAGUACGCAGUGAUAACAUGAGGAGCAGAACAGAAGACUCUUUUGUGUGACCUGGAACCAAAGGUCAUCAUGCUGGGGCAGAGUGUGGAUAGGAGGCAGAAGGGACUACAUUUCAUGAGCACUUGUUAUAUAUAAGAAGUGUUAUUGGCUGGGCGCGGUGGCUCACGCCUAUAAUCCCAACACUUUGGGAGGCCGAGGCAUGAGGAUCACCUGAGGUCGAGAGUUCGAGACCUCGAGACCAGUCUGGCCAACAUGGUGAAACCCUGUCUCUAUUAAAAAUACAAAAAUGAGCUGCGCGUGGUGGUGUAUGCCUGUAAUCCCAGCUACUUGGGAGACUGAGCAGGAGAAUCGCUUGAACCCAGGAGGCAGAGGUUGUGGUGAGCUGAGAACAUACCAUUGCACUCCAACCUGGGCGACAGAGCAAAACUCUGUCAAAAAGAAAAAAAAAAAAAAAAAAGAAGUGUUAUUGAUGUAUAAUAAAAGCUAAUGUCUGCUGUGCCCCUUUCGUAUGCCUGGAGCUAUGCGUGUACUUUCCAUAUGCAAUCUCAUUGAGCCCAGCAACAAUCCAAUGGGAUGAGGACAGUUGUGCCCAUUCAACAGGAGAGAAAACUGAAGCCUUAGAGGUCACACAGCUCUAGGUGAAGAAGUCAGAACCGCAACCCAAGUCCAACCUGAGAACCUGAGCUCUUGACCACUAACUAAACUCUAACACCUCUCAUUCACUGAGUAGGGAUCUGAAUCCAGGAGACGUAAGUAAUUUGUCCAAAGUCACGUGGCUAAUAAGCAGCAGAGUGAGGAUUUGAAAGCAGAUUUGUCUG
Molecule: long non-coding RNA, 1734 nt
Filed under: Homo sapiens (human)
Lineage: Eukaryota; Metazoa; Chordata; Mammalia; Primates; Hominidae
Description: HSALNT0160564
Source: RNAcentral